RNAcentral lists this ribosomal RNA (520 nucleotides) under uncultured Acaulospora. Its description in RNAcentral is "SSU rRNA". It matches the Rfam family "Eukaryotic small subunit ribosomal RNA", at positions 569 to 1088 of the family's 1831-position model. Lineage: Eukaryota; Fungi; Glomeromycota; Glomeromycetes; Diversisporales; Acaulosporaceae. The record is from RNAcentral.
AGCAGCCGCGGUAAUUCCAGCUCCAAUAGCGUAUAUUAAAGUUGUUGCAGUUAAAAAGCUCGUAGUUGAAUUUCGGGGUUCAUCCGUUGGUCGGGCUUUUUGGUCUGUACUGGCGUGAUGGAUUCCUACCUUCUGAAUAACCGGCAUGCCAUUAAUUUGGUGCGCCGGGGAAGCAGGACUGUUACCUUGAAAAAAUUAGAGUGCUUAAAGCAGGCUUAUGCCUGAAUACAUUAGCAUGGAAUAAUGAAAUAGGACGGCAUGGUUCUAUUUUGUUGGUUUCUAGGAUCACCGUAAUGAUUAAUAGGGAUAGUUGGGGGCAUUAGUAUUCAAUUGUCAGGGGUGAAAUUCUUGGAUUUAUUGAAGACUAACUUCUGCGAAAGCAUUUGCCAAGGAUGUUUUCAUUAAUCAAGAACGAAAGUUAGGGGAUCGAAGACGAUCAGAUACCGUCGUAGCCUUAACCAUAAACUAUGCCGACUAGGGAUCGGACGAUGUUAAUUUUUUAAUGACUCGUUCGGCGCCU